AUGGAAACUCACAUCUGUGGAGACCCUUGAUUUGUGACCCUGACUAUAGCUGGUAUUCCUUAAUGACUGGUUAAGGGCUCCACUUUCAGAUAAAACAUAGACCUGAAUGGCAUCAUCCAGUAUCCAGGGAAACCAUGUAAGGACCUCGCUCACUGUGUACUUCUCUUAUUCAGAGUUUAAAAGCUAGCUGAGUACUGAAUAACCACAUGAUGGAUGGAAGAACCAGCUCCCUCAAGUUCUUCUUUGACUUCCACUGGCUUGCUUUGUCACACCCCACCAAAUAAAGAAAUAUAAAAAUUUGAUGGCAUGAUAAAUGUC
RNAcentral lists this long non-coding RNA (318 nucleotides) under Rattus norvegicus (Norway rat). RNAcentral describes it as "long non-coding RNA NONRATT015940". The record is from RNAcentral. Lineage: Eukaryota; Metazoa; Chordata; Mammalia; Rodentia; Muridae.